UACCUGGUUGAUUCUGCCAGUAGUCAUAUGCUUGUCUCAAAGAUUAAGCCAUGCAUGUCUAAGUAUAAGCAAGUAUACUGUGAAACUGCGAAUGGCUCAUUAAAUCAGUUAUC
RNAcentral lists this non-coding RNA (113 nucleotides) under Verruconis gallopava. RNAcentral describes it as "Ochroconis gallopava Eukaryotic small subunit ribosomal RNA". It matches the Rfam family "Eukaryotic small subunit ribosomal RNA", at positions 1 to 114 of the family's 1831-position model. Lineage: Eukaryota; Fungi; Ascomycota; Dothideomycetes; Venturiales; Sympoventuriaceae. The record is from Rfam by way of RNAcentral.